UACGUAGGGGGCGAGCGUUGUCCGGAAUCAUUGGGCGUAAAGCGCGCGUAGGCGGCUUUGCAAGUCGGGUGUGAAAUCCCCAGGCUUAACCUGGGAACUGCAUUCGAGACUGCAUUGCUAGAGUAUGGGAGAGGGAAGUGGAAUUUCCGGUGUAGCGGUGAAAUGCGUAGAUAUCGGAAGGAACAUCAGUGGCGAAAGCGACUUCCUGGACCAAUACUGACGCUCAUGUGCGAAAGCGUGGGGAGCAAACAGG
Molecule: ribosomal RNA, 253 nt
Filed under: uncultured bacterium
Lineage: Bacteria
Description: partial 16S ribosomal RNA
Rfam family: Bacterial small subunit ribosomal RNA
Source: RNAcentral